GCUUACGGCCAUACCAGCCCAAGAACGCCCGGUCUCGUCUGAUCUCGGAAGCUAAGAAGGCUUGGGCCUGUUUAGUACUUGGAUGGGAGAUUUCCUGGGAAUACCUGGUGCUGUAAGCU
Denticeps clupeoides (denticle herring) is the source of this 119-nucleotide ribosomal RNA. The record is from Ensembl. NCBI's taxonomy places the organism in Eukaryota, Metazoa, Chordata, Actinopteri, Clupeiformes, Denticipitidae.